AUUCAAACUUCAGUUCGUAUUCGGGACUUCCCGUCCUCCAACUUCUGCUUCCAAAAACAUCAACACCACCGACUAACAGAGUGAAUGAGGCGUUAGGUUUUGCCUCGUCCACUUCUUCCAUAAUGGUGAUAUCCCUGCGUCAUAGCUCCGCGAAAUUAGCCCUAAAACUGUCGAUUCUACUUCCUCUGGUCGCCGAUUCUCAGGUGUGUUAUUUCAUUGAAAAACUCCCCAAGCGAAGAUGGAAUGAGUAGUCCGAAUAAGAUGAAUUGGUAAGGGGAGAGUGAAAAUGAAGACUGGUAAAGAGGAUCAGUGUGAGACUGUGAGCCAACCCUAUAGAUUGGUGCUUUUGGAUGUGUUUGCUUCUUUCAAACGCUCAUAAUUCAUCAUUGAUGGACCAAAAGCUGGGAGUAAGAUUAUUAAAAUCCGUAAAAAGGCUUUUGUUGAAGUUAUUUGGAAACACCAAGCUAGAAAAAUUGAUCAGGGAUCUAAGCCACCCCUUCCACAGUUCAACCU
This is a long non-coding RNA of Spinacia oleracea (spinach), 513 nucleotides long. RefSeq lists it as uncharacterized. The transcript is spliced from 4 exons. The record is from RefSeq and is a predicted model, not a curated record. NCBI's taxonomy places the organism in Eukaryota, Viridiplantae, Streptophyta, Magnoliopsida, Caryophyllales, Amaranthaceae.